CCCCUAGAUGUUCUGGGCCGCACGCGCGCUACACUGAACAGUUCAACAAGUCUUAACCUUGGCCGAUAGGUCUGGGUAAUCUUUGAACGCUGUUCGUGAUUGGGAUAGACCUUUGCAAUUAUGGGUCUUCAACGAGGAAUUCCUAGUAAACGCAAGUCAUCAGCUUGCAUUGAUUACGUCCCUGCCCUUUGUACACACCGCCCGUCGCUCCUACCGAUUGAAUGGUCCGGUGAAGCGCUCGGACCGCGGCCUCUUGACGGGUCUCCGUCGAUUGGCUGUGGGAAGUUCGUUAAACCUUAUCAUUUAGAGGAAGGAGAANUCGUAACA
This 327-nucleotide ribosomal RNA is filed under the name uncultured eukaryote. Its description in RNAcentral is "partial 18S ribosomal RNA". It matches the Rfam family "Eukaryotic small subunit ribosomal RNA", at positions 1470 to 1796 of the family's 1831-position model. The record is from RNAcentral.